AAUUUCGAGCAGUCGCGGUUAGCCUAGAGCUAACUGAGGAAAGUCCACGCACACACAAGCUGAGAUUGCUUGUAGUGCCCGUAUUCAGCUCAAUAAGCUGGAGGAUAUAGUUUCUAUAUCACGGCGGAGAAAGUGCUAAGUCUUUGAUAUGCAUAAGUAUCCUGAAAGUGCCACAGUGACGAAGCAAGGUUGGAAACGACCUUGGUGGAACGAGGUAAACCCUGCGAGUGUGCAACCUAAAUUUGGUGGGGGCGUUUCGACCUAAGAAAAUGAACUAAAGGUCGGGUUAUUGCUAUUGCAAUAAAGAUAGAUGGCUGCUGAAGGUUGUUUUUUGCCAAGAGCAACUGGAACAGAACGUGGCUUAUAGAA
This 369-nucleotide RNase P RNA is filed under the name Lactobacillus sp. LL6. RNAcentral describes it as "Bacterial RNase P class B". It matches the Rfam family "Bacterial RNase P class B". Rfam says of the family: Ribonuclease P (RNase P) is a ubiquitous endoribonuclease, found in archaea, bacteria and eukarya as well as chloroplasts and mitochondria. Its best characterised activity is the generation of mature 5'-ends of tRNAs by cleaving the 5'-leader elements of precursor-tRNAs. The record is from Rfam by way of RNAcentral. Lineage: Bacteria; Bacillati; Bacillota; Bacilli; Lactobacillales; Lactobacillaceae.